Molecule: long non-coding RNA, 241 nt
Filed under: Eucalyptus grandis
Lineage: Eukaryota; Viridiplantae; Streptophyta; Magnoliopsida; Myrtales; Myrtaceae
Description: long non-coding RNA (EGRA_LNC007567)
Source: RNAcentral
UUUGUAACUUUAUGGAGCACAAUGAUUCCUUUAUAAUUUACAAAUCUGUCUCAGACAUUCACUAAGAUCGACUUCAAUAACUGAAUCCCCUUUACUUCAAGAAAUGAGAACUAACUCCUAUACCUCAAAAGCUAAUUAACUCAAAAUAAGACGAUAGUUAUUGAUAUAUUUGAUUAGUUGUUGAGUCUACUAGACAUUUACCACUCAUAAGCAUUCGCUAUUUAUCAUGAGAAAUGGAAAC